Molecule: ribosomal RNA, 468 nt
Filed under: uncultured bacterium
Lineage: Bacteria
Description: partial 16S ribosomal RNA
Rfam family: Bacterial small subunit ribosomal RNA
Source: RNAcentral
GACGAACGCUGGCGGCGUGCUUAACACAUGCAAGUCGAACGGAAAGGCCCUGCUUUUGUGGGGUGCUCGAGUGGCGAACGGGUGAGUAACACGUGAGUAACCUGCCCUUGACUUUGGGAUAACUUCAGGAAACUGGGGCUCAUACCGGAUAGGAGCUCUUGCUGCAUGGUGGGGGUUGGAAAGUUUCGGCGGUUGGGGAUGGACUCGCGGCUUAUCAGCUGGUUGGUGGGGUAGUGGCUUACCAAGCCUUUGACGGGUAGCCGGCCUGAGAGGGUGACCGGCCACAUUGGGACUGAGAUACGGCCCAGACUCCAACGGGAGGCAGCAGUGGGGAAUAUUGCACAAUGGGCGGAAGCCUGAUGCAGCAACGCCGCGUGCGGGAUGACGGCUUUCGGGUUGUAAACCGCUUUCGCCUGUGACGAAGCGGGAGUGACGGUAAUGGGUAAAGAAGCACCGGCUAACUACGUG